Molecule: non-coding RNA, 82 nt
Organism: Chrysemys picta bellii (western painted turtle)
Lineage: Eukaryota; Metazoa; Chordata; Testudines; Emydidae
Source: the annotation of a RefSeq genome assembly
GGUAGUGUGGCUGAGUGGUCUAAGGCGCUGGAUUAAAGCUCCAAUCUCUUUGGAGGUGUGGGUUUGAAUCCCACCACUGUCA